ACGGAAGGCAGCAGUGGGGAAUAUUGCACAAUGGGGGAAACCCUGAUGCAGCGACGCCGCGUGAGUGAAGAAGUAUUUCGGUAUGUAAAGCUCUAUCAGCAGGAAAGAAAAUGACGGUACCUGACUAAGAAGCCCCGGCUAACUACGUGCCAGCAGCCGCGGUAAUACGUAGGGGGCAAGCGUUAUCCGGAUUUACUGGGUGUAAAGGGAGCGUAGACGGCUUUGCAAGUCUGAAGUGAAAGCCCGGGGCUCACCCCCGGAACUGCUUUGGAAACUGUAGAGCUAGAGUGCAGGAGAGGUAAGUGGAAUUCCUAGUGUAGCGGUGAAAUGCGUAGAUAUUAGGAGGAACACCAGUGGCGAAGGCGGCUUACUGGACUGUAACUGACGUUGAGGCUCGAAGGCGUGGGGAGCAAACAGGAUUAGAUACCCUGGUA
RNAcentral lists this ribosomal RNA (434 nucleotides) under uncultured Clostridium sp. RNAcentral describes it as "partial 16S ribosomal RNA". It matches the Rfam family "Bacterial small subunit ribosomal RNA", at positions 341 to 792 of the family's 1533-position model. The record is from RNAcentral. RNAcentral also lists the same sequence under 1 other name. Lineage: Bacteria; Bacillati; Bacillota; Clostridia; Eubacteriales; Clostridiaceae.